Molecule: long non-coding RNA, 492 nt
Filed under: Monodelphis domestica (gray short-tailed opossum)
Lineage: Eukaryota; Metazoa; Chordata; Mammalia; Didelphimorphia; Didelphidae
Description: lncRNA (ENSMODG00000030447.2)
Source: RNAcentral
AGCAAUAAACCAGGAAUGAGGGGAGCCCUGGUGACAAAGAGGACACUGGAUUCUCUCUGUGGUCAAGGAGAGAUGGCAGUGAGAGGGGUAAAUUCACUCAGUUACCCAACUUCCUCUUAGGAGAGUGGCAAGGGUGACAAGCCUCACCUGGCUGAGAGUGAGGUUUGUUUGGGCCCCAUUGUCAUAGCAACAAGGGAAUGUUUGGUAACAGAGCCAGUGACUUCACAGAAGCUGGUCUUAAUUCCACAUUUCUGAAGCUCAGGGAAGAGCAGAGCCAGCCAGGAGAGAAUGUGGAGGCAGAGGAAGACAAUAGUUCCCUUGGAAGAGCUGUGACUACUAGAAAAGUACUGUCCUGUAUCCUGGAGGGACACCAGAUGGAACCAAAAGACCAUGUUAUUUAAGUCAAUCAAUCAAAAACUAAAACCUUAAUUUACAAUGAAAAAAGUUUUUAAAAAAAAUAAACAAUCUAAAUGACUACUUUCCUGAGCCUGU